GACGAACGCUGGCGGCGUGCUUAACACAUGCAAGUCGAACGGUGAAGCCCUGCUUUUGUGGGGUGCUCGAGUGGCGAACGGGUGAGUAACACGUGAGUAACCUGCCCUUGACUUUGGGAUAACUUCAGGAAACUGGUGCUAAUACUGGAUAUGAGCUCGUGUUGCAUGGUGGGGGUUGGAAAGUUUCGGCGGUUGGGGAUGGAGUCGUGGCUUAUUAGCUUGUUGGUGGGGUAGUGGUUUACCAAGGCUUUGACGGGUAGCCGGCCUGAGAGGGUGACCGGCCACAUUGGGACUGAGAUACGGCGCAGACUCCUACGGGAGGCAGCAGUGGGGAAUAUUGCACAAUGGGCGGAAGCCUGAUGCAACAACGCCGCGUGCGGGAUGACGGCCUUCGGGUUGUAAACCGCUUUCGCCUGUGACGAAGCGUGAGUGACGGUAAUGGGUAAAGAAGCACCGGCAAACUACGU
Molecule: ribosomal RNA, 467 nt
Filed under: uncultured bacterium
Lineage: Bacteria
Description: partial 16S ribosomal RNA
Rfam family: Bacterial small subunit ribosomal RNA
Source: RNAcentral